Molecule: ribosomal RNA, 250 nt
Filed under: uncultured bacterium
Lineage: Bacteria
Description: partial 16S ribosomal RNA
Rfam family: Bacterial small subunit ribosomal RNA
Source: RNAcentral
UGAGUAACACGUAUGCAACCUGCCUGCCACAGCCGGAUAAUCGGGAGAAAUUCCGUCUAAUACGGCAUAAUGCAUCGACGGGACAUCCUGUUGGUGCCAAAGGUUGAUUCCGGGUGGCGGAUGGGCAUGCGUCGCAUUAGUUAGUUGGCGGUGUAACGGACCACCAAGACGACGAUGCGUAGGGGUUCUGAGAGGAAGGUCCCCCACACUGGUACUGAGACACGGACCAGACUCCUACGGAAGGCAGCAG